RNAcentral lists this ribosomal RNA (475 nucleotides) under Octobranchus sp. SIO BIC A9463. Its description in RNAcentral is "partial large subunit ribosomal RNA". It matches the Rfam family "Bacterial large subunit ribosomal RNA", at positions 1929 to 2623 of the family's 2925-position model. Lineage: Eukaryota; Metazoa; Annelida; Polychaeta; Terebellida; Trichobranchidae. The record is from RNAcentral.
UUUUGCGGUAUCCCGACCGUGCUAAGGUAGCGAGAUAAAUUGCCCUUUAAUUGUGGGCGAGUACGAAUGGACUAACGCAAGUUUUUCUGUCUCUAUUAUAACUCUAAAAAUUGUCCUUUAGGUGAAGAGACCUAAAUUUUAUUUAAGGACAAAAAGACCCCGCAGAGCUCUGUACUCUCAUUAUAUUAUAAUAUUUAUUUAUAAAUUACUUAUUUAUACCCUCGUACUUAGCUGGGGCGGCUAAGGAACAAAUAACUUCCUUUCUAACCUUCGAUUAAUAAAUCUUAAAAAUUUAUAAUAACUAAUAAAAAAGCUACCUCGGGGAUAACAGAUUAAUUCUCUUUGAGAGUUCACAUUGAAAAGAGAGAUUGACACCUCGAUGUUGGCUUAAGACACCCAGGAAAUUGUAACAGUUUCCAAUGGUAGGUUUGUUCACCCUUUAAAGUCUUACAUGAUCUGAGNUNAAACCGGAGAA